UAUUCAAGUAUGCAUACUUGAAUACAUAGAGUAUGGAAGGCAGACCCAGGGAACUGAAACAUCUAAGUACCUGGAGGAAGAGAAAGCAAAUGCGAUUCCCUGAGUAGCGGCGAGCGAAACGGGCUGUAGCCCAAACCAAGAGGCUUGCCCCUCGGGGCUGUAGGAAACUCUAUACGGAGACACAAAAGAAAGGAGUAAACGAAGAAGUCUGGAAAGGACAGUCAAAAAAGCGAACAACCC
This 240-nucleotide ribosomal RNA is filed under the name Rossellomorea aquimaris. Its description in RNAcentral is "Bacillus aquimaris Bacterial large subunit ribosomal RNA". It matches the Rfam family "Bacterial large subunit ribosomal RNA", at positions 141 to 374 of the family's 2925-position model. The record is from Rfam by way of RNAcentral. Lineage: Bacteria; Bacillati; Bacillota; Bacilli; Caryophanales; Bacillaceae.